RNAcentral lists this ribosomal RNA (493 nucleotides) under uncultured bacterium. RNAcentral's name for it is "partial 16S ribosomal RNA". It matches the Rfam family "Bacterial small subunit ribosomal RNA", at positions 28 to 507 of the family's 1533-position model. The record is from RNAcentral.
GACGAACGCUGGCGGCGUGCUUAACACAUGCAAGUCGAACGGUGAAGCGCCUUCCUUUUUGGUAGGCGUGGAUGAGUGGCGAACGGGUGAGUAACACGUGAGUAACCUGCCCCUUCUUCUGGAUAACCGCAUGAAAGUGUGGCUAAUACGGGAUAUUCUGGGUCUGUCGCAUGAUGGGUCUGGGAAAGAUAUUGUUUCGGUGGGGGAUGGGCUCGCGGCCUAUCAGCUUGUUGGUGGGGUGAUGGCCUACCAAGGCGGUGACGGGUAGCCGGCCUGAGAGGGUGGACGGUCACACUGGGACUGAGACACGGCCCAGACUCCUACGGGAGGCAGCAGUGGGGAAUAUUGCACAAUGGGCGCAAGCCUGAUGCAGCGACGCCGCGUGAGGGAUGGAGGCCUUCGGGUUGUGAACCUCUUUCGCCAGUGAAGCAGGCCUGCCUCGUUUGUGGGUGGGUUGACGGUAGCUGGAUAAGAAGCGCCGGCUAACUACGUG